CUACGGGGGGCAGCAGUGGGGAAUUUUGGACAAUGGGGGCAACCCUGAUCCAGCCAUGCCGCGUGAGUGAAGAAGGCCUUCGGGUUGUAAAGCUCUUUCAGCCGGGAAGAAAUCGCAUGGGCCAAUACCCUGUGCGGAUGACGGUACCGGAAUAAGAAGCACCGGCUAACUACGUGCCAGCAGCCGCGGUAAUACGUAGGGUGCGAGCGUUAAUCGGAAUUACUGGGCGUAAAGCGUGCGCAGGCGGAUGCUUAAGUCAGAUGUGAAAUCCCCGGGCUUAACCUGGGAAUUGCAUUUGAAACUGGGUGUCUAGAGUGCGUCAGAGGGGGGUGGAAGUCCACGUGUAGCAGUGAAAUGCGUAGAUAUGUGGAGGAACACCAAUGGCGAAGGCAGCCCCCUGGGAUGACACUGACGCUCAUGCACGAAAGCGUGGGGAGCAAACAGGAUUAGAUACCCUAGUAGUC
RNAcentral lists this ribosomal RNA (464 nucleotides) under uncultured bacterium. RNAcentral describes it as "partial 16S ribosomal RNA". It matches the Rfam family "Bacterial small subunit ribosomal RNA", at positions 339 to 795 of the family's 1533-position model. The record is from RNAcentral.